AUGACUCACACAUAGUCUUAGAGACUUUAUUAACUGAAAUAGCUUGUAUUGAAGAUAGAUAUUGAGGAUUUGCUGGUGAGGAUGCCCCAAUCUCUUGUGACAUAUGACAUCACUUGCACACUGCUGCCUAGAUGAGUAGAAAGCAAGAAACUGAGGAUUCUCUAACCGGUACAGUCCUUCACGCUUGCUUCCUCGACUGAGAAGCUGUUGAGUCUUUUUGUCCUUAACAAGC
Molecule: long non-coding RNA, 232 nt
Filed under: Brassica rapa (field mustard)
Lineage: Eukaryota; Viridiplantae; Streptophyta; Magnoliopsida; Brassicales; Brassicaceae
Description: long non-coding RNA (BRAP_LNC004241)
Source: RNAcentral